GUGGAUUAGAUACCCUGGUAGUCCACGCCCUAAACUAUGUCAACUGGUUGUCGGGGAAGCAAUUCCUUGGUAACGAAGCUAACGCGUGAAGUUGACCGCCUGGGGAGUACGGCCGCAAGGUUAAAACUCAAAGGAAUUGACGGGGACCCGCACAAGCGGUGGAUUAUGUGGAUUAAUUCGAUGCAACGCGAAAAACCUUACCUACCCUUGACAUGCUAGGAAGCUCGCAGAGAUGUGAGUGUGCCCGAAAGGGAACCUAGACACAGGUGCUGCACGGCCGUCGCCAACU
Molecule: ribosomal RNA, 289 nt
Filed under: uncultured bacterium
Lineage: Bacteria
Description: partial 16S ribosomal RNA
Rfam family: Bacterial small subunit ribosomal RNA
Source: RNAcentral